RNAcentral lists this non-coding RNA (26 nucleotides) under Mus musculus (house mouse). The record is from RNAcentral. Lineage: Eukaryota; Metazoa; Chordata; Mammalia; Rodentia; Muridae.
UGCAGACAUAGGUCCGACACUGCUAA